AACGCUGGCGGCGUGCCUAAUACAUGCAAGUCGAACGGUCUUUCUAUGGAAGCUUGCUUCCACUGAGAAGAUAGUGGCGAACGGGUGAGUAACACGUGGGUAACCUGCCCAUAAGAGGGGGAUAACAUCCGGAAACGGGUGCUAAUACCGCAUAGUUUUCUUGAUCGCAUGAUUGAGAAAGGAAAGACGGCCUUUGUGCUGUCGCUUAUGGAUGGACCCGCGGCGUAUUAGUUAGUUGGUGAGGUAACGGCUCACCAAGACGAUGAUACGUAGCCGACCUGAGAGGGUGAUCGGCCACAUUGGGACUGAGACACGGCCCAAACUCCUACGGGAGGCAGCAGUAGGGAAUCUUCCGCAAUGGACGAAAGUCUGACGGAGCAACGCCGCGUGAGUGAAGAAAGGGUUUUCGGAUCGUAAAACUCUGUUGUCAGAGAAGAACAAGUUGGAGAGUAACUGCUCCAGCCUUGACGGUAUCUGACCAGAAAGCCACGGCUAACUACGUGCCAGCAGCCGC
Molecule: ribosomal RNA, 514 nt
Filed under: uncultured bacterium
Lineage: Bacteria
Description: bacterial SSU rRNA
Rfam family: Bacterial small subunit ribosomal RNA
Source: RNAcentral